This 406-nucleotide ribosomal RNA is filed under the name uncultured bacterium. Its description in RNAcentral is "partial 16S ribosomal RNA". It matches the Rfam family "Bacterial small subunit ribosomal RNA", at positions 30 to 526 of the family's 1533-position model. The record is from RNAcentral.
AUUGAACGCUGGCGGCAGGCCUAACACAUGCAAGUCGAACGAGUGGCGGACGGGUGAGUAAUGUCUGGGCAACUGCCCGGUGGAGGGGGAUAACUACUGGAAACGGUAGCUAAUACCGCAUACCAUCGGAUGUGCCCAGAUGGGAUUAGCUAGUGGGUGGGGUAAAGGCUCACCAAGGCGACGAUCCCUAACUGGUCUGAGAGGAUGACCAGCCACACUGGAACUGAGACACGGUCCAGACUCCUACGGGAGGCAGCAGUGUGGAAUAUUGCACAAUGGGCGAAAGCCUGAUACAGCCAUGCCGCGUGUAUGAAGAAGGCCUUCGGGUUGUAAAGUACUUUCAGCGGGGAGGCGUUACUCGCAGAAGAAGCACCGGCUAACUCCGUGCCAGCAGCCGCGGUAAUUC